GUGGGGAAUCUUGCACAAUGGGGGAAACCCUGAUGCAGCGACGCCGCGUGAGCGAUGAAGCCCCUCGGGGUGUAAAGCUCUUUCGGCAGGGAAGAAUACUGACGGUACCUGCAGAAGCAGCUGCGGCUAACUACGUGCCAGCAGCCGCGGUAAUACGUAGGCAGCGAGCGUUGUUCGGAGUUACUGGGCGUAAAGGGUGUGUAGGCGGUUCUCUAAGUUCGGUGUGAAAUCUCCCGGCUCAACUGGGAGGGUGCGCCGGAAACUGGAAGGCUUCGAGUGCGGGAUGGGAGAGUGGAAUUCCUGGUGUAGCGGUGAAAUGCGUAGAUAUCAGGAGGAACACCUGUGGUGUAGACGGCUCUCUGGACCGUAACUGACGCUGAAACACGAAAGCGUGGGUAGCAAACAGGAUUAGAUACCCCAGUAGUCC
This 427-nucleotide ribosomal RNA is filed under the name uncultured bacterium. RNAcentral describes it as "bacterial SSU rRNA". It matches the Rfam family "Bacterial small subunit ribosomal RNA", at positions 354 to 796 of the family's 1533-position model. The record is from RNAcentral.